AUUGAACGCUGGCGGCAGGCCUAACACAUGCAAGUCGAACGGUAACAGGAAACAGCUUGCUGUUUCGCUGACGAGUGGCGGACGGGUGAGUAAUGUCUGGGAAACUGCCUGAUGGAGGGGGAUAACUACUGGAAACGGUAGCUAAUACUGCAUAACGUCACAAGACCAAAGAGGGGGACCCUCGGGCCUCUUGCCAUCGGAUGUGCCCAGAUGGGAUUAGCUUGUUGGUGGGGUAACGGCUCACCAAGGCGACGAUCCCUAGCUGGUCUGAGAGGAUGACCAGCCACACUGGAACUGAGACACGGUCCAGACUCCUACGGGAGGCAGCAGUGGGGAAUAUUGCACAAUGGGCGCAAGCCUGAUGCAGCCAUGCCGCGUGUAUGAAGAAGGCCUUCGGGUUGUAAAGUACUUUCAGCGGGGAGGAAGGGAGUAAAGUUAAUACCUUUGCUCAUUGACGUUACCCGCAGAAGAAGCACCGGCUAACUCCGUG
RNAcentral lists this ribosomal RNA (490 nucleotides) under uncultured bacterium. Its description in RNAcentral is "partial 16S ribosomal RNA". It matches the Rfam family "Bacterial small subunit ribosomal RNA", at positions 30 to 507 of the family's 1533-position model. The record is from RNAcentral.